RNAcentral lists this ribosomal RNA (466 nucleotides) under uncultured bacterium. RNAcentral describes it as "partial 16S ribosomal RNA". It matches the Rfam family "Bacterial small subunit ribosomal RNA", at positions 28 to 506 of the family's 1533-position model. The record is from RNAcentral.
GACGAACGCUGGCGGCGUGCUUAACACAUGCAAGUCGAACGGAAAGGCCUCUUUCGGGGGGUACUCGAGUGGCGAACGGGUGAGUAACACGUGAGUAACCUGCCCUUGACUUUGGGAUAACUUCAGGAAACUGGGGCUAAUACCGGAUAGGAGCUCCUGCUGCAUGGUGGGGGUUGGAAAGUUUCGGCGGUUGGGGAUGGACUCGCGGCUUAUCAGCUUGUUGGUGGGGUAGUGGCUUACCAAGGCUUUGACGGGUAGCCGGCCUGAGAGGGUGACCGGCCACAUUGGGACUGAGAUACGGCCCAGACUCCUACGGGAGGCAGCAGUGGGGAAUAUUGCACAAUGGGUGGAAGCCUGAUGCAGCAACGCCGUGUGCGGGAUGACGGCCUUCGGGUUGUAAACCGCUUUCGCUCAUAACGAAGCUUUGUGUGACGGUAGUGGGUAAAGAAGCACCGGCUAACUACGU